Molecule: ribosomal RNA, 445 nt
Filed under: uncultured bacterium
Lineage: Bacteria
Description: partial 16S ribosomal RNA
Rfam family: Bacterial small subunit ribosomal RNA
Source: RNAcentral
GUGAGGAAUAUUGGACAAUGGGCGCAAACCUGAUCCAGCCAUGCCGCGUGCAGGAAGACGCAUCUAUGGUGUGUAAACUGCUUUUGUACGGGAAGAAACACUCCCUCGUGAGGGAGCUUGACGGUACCGUAAGAAUAAGGAUCGGCUAACUCCGUGCCAGCAGCAGCGGUAAUACGGAGGAUCCAAGCGUUAUCCGGAAUCAUUGGGUUUAAAGGGUCCGUAGGCGGUUUAAUAAGUCAGUGGUGAAAGCCCAUUGCUCAACGAUGGAACAGCCAUUGAUACUGUUAGACUUGAAUUACAAGGAAGUAACUAGAAUAUGUAGUGUAGCGGUGAAAUGCUUAGAUAUUACAUGGAAUACCAAUUGCGAAGGCAGGUUACGACUUGUGGAUUGAUGCUGAUGGACGAAAGCGUGGGGAGCGAACAGGAUUAGAUACCCGAGUAGUCC